Molecule: long non-coding RNA, 2321 nt
Organism: Oxyura jamaicensis (ruddy duck)
Lineage: Eukaryota; Metazoa; Chordata; Aves; Anseriformes; Anatidae
Exons: 3
Source: RefSeq, a predicted model, not a curated record
CACGCCCCGUGUUGGUGGCUGCACAAGGAUGCCAGUCAUUGCCCUCUGCGUGGGGAAAAAUCACAUUUUUCCUUGGCAACUGAGCUUUUCUGGGGCUCCUCCCUUCCCACAGCAUCCAAACCUCAUCUGCAUUUUAAGCCUCUUCUGCAGCUUCUCAACAAGUUGAUUAAUGGAAAUAAUUGGUCUCUCCGUGCAUCUGGAGCCAGUUGCCGUGACAGCAGUUUCAUUUGUGUUUUGUUACCAGGUUGAGCUUGUUUUCUGCAUCCCACAGCUUUGAGGUGCCACUGUCCCCAUCCCUGGGGCAGCCACACAUCCCUCAGGGCUCAGGGAGACAGGGCCCAUCAGGAUGAGCCCCAGCACCGUGGCAUGGGGCUGGGGCAGCCCCACAACAUGCAGGGUGAGCACCCAUAUGGUGGGGGACAUGGUAGCCUUGGGCUGUGGCGAGCUGGUGCCUUGCUCUCCCCUGAUUUUCCCCUCCCAGUGGAGGCAGACAUGGCUCCACCACCCACGAUGUGCAGACUGACGAGCCCAAGCCCUUCAUCCAAGCACCCUUGGCCCCACUCCUUGGUCCCCCACGGAGACCCCAUCAAAGCUGUGAGGAGUAUGAGGGGAGGACUCUACCCACCAUUAUUUUUAUUUUUUCCCCAACUUCUUGUUUAGCUGCUUUUGUACAUGAAUGCACUUUCACAUGAACAAAACCAUGGCUGUGUGGAAGAUUUGCUAAUGGGUGAAUUUGCAAAACAGACUAACCACAGACCAGAUGCUUUAAACCCUCCAGCUGUAACAGUCUGACAGCUGCUGUUGUAUUCAUGUCCUAGGAGGACCCUUGUAUUGUCCCCACUUGUGAUGUCUCAGCACAGCCAGGCCUUUUGGUGGGUUCCUUUGCAAUGGAGAUCCCCACGAAUCCCCUGCCUCCCCCCAGACCAUCCAGGCCUCUGGAAGAAAAGUCCCUGCUGUCUUUCACUUCAAAUUUCCUACAAAGGCUGGAAACUACCCAACGGUCCCACAGCUCUUCUGAUCACAUCAGGGCACUGAAUUCAGAGACCGUGACCUCCUCAAACCCUGCCUGGGAUGUUCACCCACCACACCAGCACCUUGCAGCCUCCCCAGGUGAGAAGGAUUUCCCUGAGCCCAGAGGAGAUGCAGCUGGGGCCUAUUUUCUAGCAUGGCUGCCCUUGUUUGUAUAAAAGGAGGAGGAAAGCCCAGCAGCUCUUGAUGGGAUAGCUCUGUUUGGGGGAAGACCUUUCUAUGAAGGCAGAGGUAUACAUGGACACAUGCUAGCAGACAAAAAGCAAGAGAUUAACCAUUUAAGGAAGCAAGCAGGAGCUCAUUCAGCAAUUCUUCUGCCUCGUCCACCUGGGCUCUGGGCCACACUCUGACUGCAGUCAUUUUCCAAACCAGGACAGAUCUGCAGACUUCCUCUUCAUUCCUUGACCCACUUCUAAAACUGCCUCAUUGUUGGAGCUGAGGAUUGCUCGCCUGCUCCAUCCCUGCCUCAAGGACAGGGCACUUGCUGCUUUUGUGUGUCAGUUUGCCCAUCUGUUAAAUGCAGCUAUUAAUACUCUUUCCUCAAGAGAUGUUUCAAAUAUUUGUAAAGCUUUGAGAUCUGCAGAUGACAGGCUUACAGAAGUGGAAAAUACUAAUUAAGUUCAUGGCAGUAUCCAAGCACAGGCGCGAGGGUUUAACAAUACACUUCUGUUACUGUUUACCCUGCUUACAGUGAAGUGCUUAUUGGAAAUGGUAGACAGGAAAAGAAACAGCAUUCCCACAACUCUGGGAAUACACAUCGCCCUUUCGGGGCACUAACCGGGCUAACAAAAGCAGGAAGGAAGAAAGCCAGCUUUGGAAAUUCUCAAUCCUCGAUUUCUCCUCUUUGCAUUCCUGCCUCCCUCUGGCUCCCGUGUCGUGCAGCCCAAGCAGUUAAACCUCCAGCACUUCGCAUGUAUUGCAAAACUUCUCCAAAUCUAUGGCCCUGUGCCAGGAGAUGCUUAAAGCAAAUUGGAACGAGGAUGCUUUGAACUAGAAGAGCCAUCACGAAGUAAUUCUGGUCCUGAGGGGAUGUUGGGGAAGCCCUGUUUUCUCUCAGAAGAGAUGAUUUUGGAGAGAGGAACCCAUUAGUGACUGGUCUUGGCUUUCCACCCCUCCAGCACUGGCUCCAGCAGGCUGUUUCUCCCCAUGGCCCUACCCUGGGGACUUGGAGUCCUGCAGGAUAGCAGCUGGGCACCCUGCUCCAUCCUCUGCUGGCUCCCCCAGCCCUGGGGGUGGGCAGAGCUGUGAGACCCCAUGUGCACAGGCAGGCAGCAUCCCACAUGGGGGGUCUG